RNAcentral lists this transfer RNA (71 nucleotides) under Marmota monax (woodchuck). Its description in RNAcentral is "tRNA.Ala". Lineage: Eukaryota; Metazoa; Chordata; Mammalia; Rodentia; Sciuridae. The record is from RNAcentral.
UGGAAUAUAGCUUAGUGUUUGAAUGUCUGCCUAGCAUGCACAGGCCUUGGGUUUGAUCCCCAAUUCUACAA